RNAcentral lists this ribosomal RNA (374 nucleotides) under uncultured bacterium. RNAcentral describes it as "bacterial SSU rRNA". It matches the Rfam family "Bacterial small subunit ribosomal RNA", at positions 28 to 404 of the family's 1533-position model. The record is from RNAcentral.
GACGAACGCUGGCGGCGUGCUUAACACAUGCAAGUCGAGCGGUAAGGCCCUUUCGGGGGUACACGAGCGGCGAACGGGUGAGUAACACGUGGGUGACCUGCCUUUAGCUCUGGGAUAAGCCUGGGAAACUGGGUCUAAUACCGGAUACGACUCCGCGGUGCAUGCUGUGGGGUGGAAAGCCUUGUGCGGCUGGAGAUGGGCCCGCGGCCUAUCAGCUUGUUGGUGGGGUGAUGGCCACCAAGGCGACGACGGUAGCCGGCCUGAGAGGGCGACCGGCCACACUGGGGACUGAGACACGGCCCAGACUCCUACGGGAGGCAGCAGUGGGGAAUCUUGCGCAAUGGGCGAAAGCCUGACGCAGCGACGCCGCGUGA